RNAcentral lists this ribosomal RNA (295 nucleotides) under uncultured bacterium. RNAcentral describes it as "partial 16S ribosomal RNA". It matches the Rfam family "Bacterial small subunit ribosomal RNA", at positions 28 to 334 of the family's 1533-position model. The record is from RNAcentral.
GACGAACGCUGGCGGCAUGCCUAACACAUGCAAGUCGAACGAGGUAGAAAUACCUAGUGGCGGACGGGUGCGUAACACGUGAGCAACCUGCCUCUUACAACGGGAUAACACAGAGAAAUUUGUGCUAAUACGGUAUGAGACUACGAGAUGGCAUCAUCUAGUGGUUAAAGUUCAGGCGGUAAGAGAGGGGCUCGCGGCCCAUUAGAUAGUUGGUGAGGUAACGGCUCACCAAGUCGACGAUGGGUAGCCGACCUGAGAGGGUGAUCGGCCACACUGGAACUGAGAUACGGUCCAG